UUGCAGUUAAAAAGCUCGUAGUUGGAUUUUGGUUAAGAGGGCGCGGUCGGCCGUUUGGUCUGUACUGCGUUGUCUUGACUUCCUGAUGAGGACAUGCUCUUGGUUAACGCUGAGACAUGGAGUCAUCGUGGUUACUUUGAAAAAAUUAGAGUGUUCAAAGCGGGCUUACGCUUGAAUAUAUUAGCAUGGAAUAACACUAUAGGACUCCUGUCCUAUCUCGUUGGUCUCGGGAUGGGAGUAAUGAUUAAGAGGAACAGUUGGGGGCAUUCGUAUUUCAUUGUCAGAGGUGAAAUUCUUGGAUUUAUGAAAGACGAACUUCUGCGAAAGCAUUUGCCAAGGAUGUUUUCAUUAAUCAAGAACGAAAGUUGGGGGCUCGAAGAUGAUUAGAUACCAUCCUAGUCUCAACCAUAAACGAUGCCGACUAGGGAUUGGUGGAUGUUAAUUGAUGACUUCACCAGCACCUUAUGAGAAAUCAAAGUUUUUGGGUUCCGGGGGGAGUAUGGUCGCAAGGCUGAAACUUAAAGGAAUUGACGGAAGGGCACCACCAGGCGUGGAGCCUGCGGCUUA
This 567-nucleotide ribosomal RNA is filed under the name uncultured marine eukaryote. Its description in RNAcentral is "SSU rRNA". It matches the Rfam family "Eukaryotic small subunit ribosomal RNA", at positions 613 to 1192 of the family's 1831-position model. The record is from RNAcentral.